CUACGGGAGGCAGCAGUGGGGAAUCUUGCACAAUGGGGGAAACCCUGAUGCAGCGACGCCGCGUGAGCGAUGAAGCCCUUCGGGGUGUAAAGCUCUUUCGGCAGGGAAGAGUAUGACGGUACCUGCAGAAGCAGCUGCGGCUAACUACGUGCCAGCAGCCGCGGUAAUACGUAGGCAGCAAGCGUUGUUCGGAAUUACUGGGCGUAAAGGGUGCGUAGGCGGUUUUGUAAGUUUGGUGUGAAAUCUCCCGGCUUAACUGGGAGGGUGCGCCGAAAACUGCAAGGCUAGAGUGCAGGAGAGGAGAGUGGAAUUCCUGGUGUAGCGGUGAAAUGCGUAGAUAUCAGGAGGAGCACCAGUGGUGUAGACGGCUCUCUGGACUGUUACUGACGCUGAGGCACGAAAGCGUGGGGAGCAAACAGGAUUAGAUACCCUGGUAGUCC
RNAcentral lists this ribosomal RNA (440 nucleotides) under uncultured bacterium. RNAcentral's name for it is "bacterial SSU rRNA". It matches the Rfam family "Bacterial small subunit ribosomal RNA", at positions 339 to 796 of the family's 1533-position model. The record is from RNAcentral.